GGGGAUUUAGCUCAGUGGCAUAAGCACCUGCCUGGCAAGCAUGAAGUUAUGAGUUCAAUCCCCA
Molecule: transfer RNA, 64 nt
Filed under: Cavia porcellus (domestic guinea pig)
Lineage: Eukaryota; Metazoa; Chordata; Mammalia; Rodentia; Caviidae
Rfam family: tRNA
About the family: Transfer RNA (tRNA) molecules are approximately 80 nucleotides in length.
Source: Rfam by way of RNAcentral